RNAcentral lists this ribosomal RNA (119 nucleotides) under Pteropus alecto (black flying fox). Lineage: Eukaryota; Metazoa; Chordata; Mammalia; Chiroptera; Pteropodidae. The record is from RNAcentral.
GUCUAUAGCCACGCUAUGCUGAACAAGCCCGAUCCCAUCUGAUGUUGGAAGCUAAGCAGGGUCAGGCCUGGUUAGUACUUGGAUGGGAGACCACCUAGGAAGACCAGGUGCGGUAGGGG